GCCGGGCACGGUGGCGCACGCCUGUAGUCCCAGCUACUCCGGAGGCUGAGACAGGAGGAUUGCUUGAGUCCAGGAGUUCUGGGCUGUAGUGCGGAUCAGGUGUCCGCACUAAGUUCGGCAUCAAUAUGGUGACAUCCCGGGGACAGGGCACCACCAGGUUGCCUAAGGAGGGGUGAACCGGUUCAGGUCAGAAACGGAGCAGGUAAAAAUUCCCCGGGCUGAUCAGUAGUGGGAUCGCGCCUGUGAAUAGCCACUGCACUCCAGCCUGGGCAACACAGCGAGAACCCGUCUCUU
Molecule: signal recognition particle RNA, 294 nt
Filed under: Mus musculus (house mouse)
Lineage: Eukaryota; Metazoa; Chordata; Mammalia; Rodentia; Muridae
Description: Metazoan signal recognition particle RNA
Rfam family: Metazoan signal recognition particle RNA
About the family: The signal recognition particle (SRP) is a universally conserved ribonucleoprotein. It is involved in the co-translational targeting of proteins to membranes.
Source: Rfam by way of RNAcentral